Vicugna pacos (alpaca) is the source of this 2171-nucleotide non-coding RNA. The record is from RefSeq and is a predicted model, not a curated record. Lineage: Eukaryota; Metazoa; Chordata; Mammalia; Artiodactyla; Camelidae.
CAGAAGACUCAGAAAGUGGCGUUUACAUGCGAUUCAUGAGGUCUCACAAGUGUUAUGACAUCGUUCCAACCAGCUCAAAGCUUGUUGUCUUUGACACCACGUUACAAGUUAAAAAGGCCUUCUUUGCCUUAGUAGCCAAUGGUGUGCGAGCAGCGCCUCUGUGGGAGAGUAAGAAGCAGAGCUUUGUAGGAAUGCUAACAAUUACAGAUUUCAUUAAUAUACUACAUAGAUACUAUAAAUCACCCAUGGUACAGAUUUAUGAAUUAGAGGAACAUAAGAUUGAAACAUGGAGGGAGCUUUAUUUACAAGAAACAUUUAAGCCUUUAGUGAAUAUUUCUCCAGAUGCAAGCCUCUUCGAUGCUGUACACUCGUUGAUCAAAAAUAAAAUCCACAGAUUGCCAGUUAUUGACCCUAUCAGUGGGAAUGCACUUUAUAUACUUACCCACAAAAGAAUCCUCAAGUUCCUCCAGCUUUUUAUGUCCGACAUGCCAAAGCCUGCCUUCAUGAAGCAGAACCUGGACGCUCUGGGGAUCGGGACGUACCACGACAUCGCCUUCAUCCACCCAGACACGCCCAUCAUCAAAGCCCUGAAUGUCUUCGUGGAAAGACGCGUGUCCGCCCUGCCCGUGGUGGACGAGUCAGGAAAAGUUGUAGAUAUUUAUUCCAAAUUUGAUGUAAUUAACCUCGCUGCUGAAAAGACAUAUAACAACCUAGACAUCACAGUGACGCAGGCCCUGCAGCACCGGUCACAGUAUUUCGAAGGUGUUGUGAAGUGCAGUAAGCUGGAGAUACUGGAGACCAUCGUGGACAGAAUAGUGAGAGCUGAGGUCCAUCGGCUGGUGGUAGUAAAUGAAGCAGAUAGCAUCGUGGGUAUUAUUUCCCUGUCAGACAUUCUGCAAGCCCUGAUACUCACACCUGCAGUUUCAGGGGUACAGCAUUGCAGCUCAGCAUGUGUAUGCACUACACAGUGACCACCACAGGGCUCGCCACCAUCCGUCACCAUACAGUUGACCCCUUCACUCACUUCACCCAUCCCCAGCCCCCUUCCCCUCUGGUGCCAAACAGAAGGAGACGGAAAGCGAAUGACGGCCGUGAGUGGAGGGGCCCUGCAGGAGAACUUGAACACAGAUGCUGGUCGCGCUUUGCUUCAUGAACACCGACCGCGAGAGAACAGAGUAAAAUGGCUGAGCAUGUGGAUCAGGGUUUAGUGAUGGGUACUUUUUCCAGUGAUGUUGAAACUAAACAUAAAAAAGAAAGAUCUUGUGCGUCUGAAGAUUCAACCUAGCAUUAAAAGACUGUUUUCAGACCGCUGUCUGAAAGAGUUCAAAUGCUGUAAGUCAUUAAAGUGCACUGUCCUGAAUUUCUAUUAUUUUUCAUUUUAAAUAAGUCACUGGUACCUAACAGGUAAUAUGACAUAAGGCGAGUGUAUGGCAUAUUCAGAUCUAGUGCCUUAUGUCAGAACAGCGAUAUGUCAUCACUACUGCCCACCCAUCGCAACUGGGGUGCAUACUUGUGAAAUGACCCUGCUGGAGCGUGAAUGGCUUUGAACCUUUACCAAAUCAGUUUGUUUUCAUUAGAUUUGUUGAACAGCUAUAAUUUGAAUAUAAAUAAUUACUUUAUAAAACUUUAAUGACGGUUUUAUGUUUAAGUGUUCCGUUCUGAACUAUAGUGUAAACAAGACUGCUUUACAACAGCUUUAUUUAUUUUUACUUUCAUGCAAUUUUUUACACAUCUUUUGUGGGUAAACUUCACUACCCAUUAACAAAUCAUUGGUUGUUGUUUGAAAAGGGCAGAUUUCUCAUUAUUUAAGUUUGGAUCUGGAAAGGAUAUGACUUCUCAACAGCCACUGGUAGGUUUUAAAAGCUGAAGUUUCUAACAGCACACGUGGGAACCUGCUCUGCAGGGCUGCAGACAAAGUGCCGGGAAGAUGUCUAUUUUUUCUUGUGUUUUGACAUGAAAAUCAUGAUGUUUGUGUGACUGCUGACGCGAUUGUUUUGUAAAUUUUACUGUGGCAUAUACAGUAUUGUCAUAUGGUUGAGGAGAAACACAAUGUUUCCUAAUAUAAGUGCUCUGAAAAUGUUGACACUGUAUAUAUAUGAGUAUAGUUUGGUUUUUUGUUUGGGUUUUUUUUUUGCAGAUUGAAAAAUUAAAAUAAAUCUGACUAUCUACCA